CAGCAGAUGGCUGAAAUUCUGAUGUGAUGUAGCUGCUUAAUGCACGAUCUGAAAACCCCUGCACUGGUGAUUUUGGAACAGGUCUAGAAUAUUUCAAUAAAUAUAUUAACAUACCAAGAAGUGCAGGAGCAACCACUGGGCAAAUACAAAACCUUACAUCCCUGGUGAUGUCUCUGAGCUGAACAGACAUGUCCUUGCAGAAGUUUGAUAAUGAUGGUACGAUGGUGCCCCCUCGUGACAGAAGCUUUAACUACAGCUUGAAUAUCGUGUGACAUGGUAAAUAAAUUCAUUGAGCCCCAGCAAGAAGGAAUAUUAAAGAAGAGCAAAGAAUAGUAGCUGGACAGAAGAUGGGGGUCACUGAACCUGUAUCC
RNAcentral lists this long non-coding RNA (371 nucleotides) under Cebus imitator (Panamanian white-faced capuchin). Its description in RNAcentral is "lncRNA (ENSCCAG00000038274.1)". Lineage: Eukaryota; Metazoa; Chordata; Mammalia; Primates; Cebidae. The record is from RNAcentral.